RNAcentral lists this non-coding RNA (28 nucleotides) under Mus musculus (house mouse). The record is from RNAcentral. Lineage: Eukaryota; Metazoa; Chordata; Mammalia; Rodentia; Muridae.
AGUGUUAAUGGUGUCAGUCGUCUGGACC